This 497-nucleotide ribosomal RNA is filed under the name uncultured bacterium. Its description in RNAcentral is "partial 16S ribosomal RNA". It matches the Rfam family "Bacterial small subunit ribosomal RNA", at positions 28 to 507 of the family's 1533-position model. The record is from RNAcentral.
GAUGAACGCUGGCGGCGUGCCUAAUACAUGCAAGUCGAGCGAACGGACGAGAAGCUUGCUUCUCUGAUGUUAGCGGCGGACGGGUGAGUAACACGUGGAUAACCUACCUAUAAGACUGGGAUAACUUCGGGAAACCGGAGCUAAUACCGGAUGAUAUUUUGAACCGCAUGGUUCAAAAGUGAAAGACGGUCUUGCUGUCACUUAUAGAUGGAUCCGCGCUGCAUUAGCUAGUUGGUAAGGUAACGGCUUACCAAGGCAACGAUGCAUAGCCGACCUGAGAGGGUGAUCGGCCACACUGGAACUGAGACACGGUCCAGACUCCUACGGGAGGCAGCAGUAGGGAAUCUUCCGCAAUGGGCGAAAGCCUGACGGAGCAACGCCGCGUGAGUGAUGAAGGUCUUCGGGUCGUAAAACUCUGUUAUUAGGGAAGAACAUAUGUGUAAGUAACUGUGCACAUCUUGACGGUACCUAAUCAGAAAGCCACGGCUAACUACGUA